Molecule: long non-coding RNA, 637 nt
Organism: Manis javanica (Malayan pangolin)
Lineage: Eukaryota; Metazoa; Chordata; Mammalia; Pholidota; Manidae
Source: RefSeq, a predicted model, not a curated record
AAUUACAUUAAAAUGGGCCCAGCCUGACUCCGGACUUUCUCAGACCAGGAGCACCUGGCAGCAGCCAGCGAGCCAGGCCCUAUGGGCCUUCUCCAACCCAGGAGAGCUUUUCUGUGUUUAUUUGAAUGAACUGCGUGUUAUACAACAUCUGCAAACAGGACAAACGGAUUAAGUCUCUUUAGGUCAUUUUAUUAAAGGACACGGAGCAGGACUGGGGGUGAUGGAGACGUCAUCACAGCCAUUCACCAGGAAAACGCCGCCGUCCUGCCCAGCAGGCACUCACUCUGGAGGGGUUGUGAAAAUAGGAAGAUUGGAUGACCUGAGCAGGAAUCUGGGCUCUGCCACUCUCUGAAUUGGACAUGAUGAAGUUACAAGAAGUAACCCUGAAGAGGGUCCUCCCCAGAACCUGACCACCCUGUCACCCUGACCUCGGACUUGCAGCCUCCAGAACUGAAACUAAAAUGGAGUGAGAACAGAAGGCAUCUUGGCGGCUACAGCCCUGCACUCAUGACCUGUCGCAGCUCACGCCACUUUGCCCCCCUGCCCCUGUGUCUGGUGCUCGGGUGGACCCAGGCGCUCGUCCUCACCGUCACCCCAGAGGGCUCCUUCACCUGCCUCCUUCUCGUUGUCUCCCGAU